AACGAACGCUGGCGGCAGGCUUAACACAUGCAAGUCGAGCGCCCCGCAAGGGGAGCGGCAGACGGGUGAGUAACGCGUGGGAAUCUACCCAUCCCUACGGAACAACUCCGGGAAACUGGAGCUAAUACCGUAUACGCCCUUAGGGGGAAAGAUUUAUCGGGGAUGGAUGAGCCCGCGUUGGAUUAGCUAGUUGGUGGGGUAAUGGCCUACCAAGGCAACGAUCCAUAGCUGGUCUGAGAGGAUGAUCAGCCACACUGGGACUGAGACACGGCCCAGACUCCUACGGGAGGCAGCAGUGGGGAAUAUUGGACAAUGGGCGCAAGCCUGAUCCAGCCAUGCCGCGUGAGUGAUGACGGCCCUAGGGUUGUAAAGCUCUUUCACCGGUGAAGAUAAUGACGGUAACCGGAGAAGAAGCCCGGCUAACUUCGUG
This 430-nucleotide ribosomal RNA is filed under the name uncultured bacterium. RNAcentral describes it as "bacterial SSU rRNA". It matches the Rfam family "Bacterial small subunit ribosomal RNA", at positions 29 to 507 of the family's 1533-position model. The record is from RNAcentral.